AGAAAUAUUAAAAGGAUCACAAAUAUCACUCAAAUACAUCUCAAUUCAAUCUUAAUUUAAUUCUAGUUAAAAUCCUAUUGAACUUCAUUCAAACUUUAGGCCAAAACUAAUUGAAUCUUAAAUCCUAAUAAAAUUCUAAACCCUAAAUCAAAGCCUAAACAAACCUUAAACCAAACCACAACCAAAUCCUAAACCAAAUCCUAACCAAAUCCUAAAUCCUAAAUCAAACCCUAACCAAAUCCUAAACCAAAUCCUAAUCCAAAUCCUAAACCCUAAAUAAAAUCCUAACCAAACCUUACAUCAAAUCUUAAAUCAAAUCCUAACCAAACCGUAAACCAAAUCCUAAUCCAAACCCUAAAUCCUAAAUCCUAAAUCAAAUCCUAAUCCAAAUCCUAAAUCCUAAA
Molecule: long non-coding RNA, 404 nt
Filed under: Physcomitrium patens
Lineage: Eukaryota; Viridiplantae; Streptophyta; Bryopsida; Funariales; Funariaceae
Description: long non-coding RNA (PPAT_LNC010749)
Source: RNAcentral